CCUACGGGUGGCCGCCGUAGGGACUCUUCCACACUGUGCUACCGCCUUCUUGAGCACCGCCUCGUGGUUGAAGAAGGUCUUCGGAUCGUAAAACCCUGUUGUUAGAGAAGAAAGUGCGUGAGAGUAACUGUUCACGUUUCGACGGUAUCUAACCAGAAAGCCACGGCUAACUACGUGCCAGCAGCCGCGGUAAUACGUAGGUGGCAAGCGUUAUCCGGAUUUAUUGGGCGUAAAGGGAACGCAGGCGGUCUUUUAAGUCUGAUGUGAAAGCCUUCGGCUUAACCGGAGUAGUGCAUUGGAAACUGGGAGACGUGAGUGCAGAAGAGGAGAGUGGAACUCCAUGUGUAGCGGUGAAAUGCGUAGAUAUAUGGAAGAACACCAGUGGCGAAAGCGGCUCUCUGGUCUGUAACUGACGCUGAGGUUCGAAAGCGUGGGUAGCAAACAGGAUUAGAUACCCUUGUAGUC
Molecule: ribosomal RNA, 465 nt
Filed under: uncultured bacterium
Lineage: Bacteria
Description: partial 16S ribosomal RNA
Rfam family: Bacterial small subunit ribosomal RNA
Source: RNAcentral